CAACAUGGAUGGAACUAGAGACUCUCAUCCUGAGUGAAAUGAGUCAGAAUGACAAGGACAAAUACCAUAUGAUAUCACUUAUAACUGGAAUCUAAUAUCCAGCACAAAUGAACAUCUCCUCAGAAAAGAAAAUCAUGGACUUGGAGAAUAGACUUGUGGCUGCCUGACAGGAGAGGGAGGGAGUGGGAGGGAUCGGGAGCUUGGGGUUAUCAGAUACAACUUAGAAUAGAUUUACAAGGAGAUCCUGCUGAAUAGCAUUGAGAACUAUGUCCAGAUACUCAUAUUGCAACAGAACAAAGGGUGAGGGGAAAAAAAUAUAUACAUGUAAGAAUAACCUGACCCCCUUGCUGUACAGCGGGAAAAAAUAAAAUUAAAAAAAAAAGUGGGGGGCGCAUUUUCUACAUAUUUGAGAAUUUAAAUUUAAGGAAUUGAAUAAGGAAAGGGUGUUUGCUGUGUUCAGUUUUCAGGGUAAAAGACUGGCAUGCUGUAUUAUUAUAUUGUGCUCAUUGUGUAUACAACCCUGAGCAGUCUGAUUACAGCAUAAUUUAAAAUGAGACACAGAAUAGGGGAAUGCCUUCCCAAGCAGUAUAUACUCUGCUAAGCUCCUUGAAGAGGGAAAGCAACACCCCAGGUUUCCUGACUUUUAAUAGCAGAAACAACAAACUCACCCCCUUAAUACCCCCCAACACCCUCACCCCACGCACAAAUCUGCCAGUCAGUGAUGGAUCACACAUUACCCACUAGGAGGAGCCCAAGGAUUUCUACACACAAACUCCAUUCCCAGCCAGAGGAAAUCUCAAUGAGGUCAAGGGCAUUUGAGGGCUUUAUUGCUAAGUGUGGAGCAAAGAAUGCAAGCAUCUAAAAGGUCAAAAGCACUUGCUAACUUGUGGAAUGUCCUUUCCUUCUGGCUCCUUUUUAAAUCUUUGUAUCUUAAAAAGUGGUGCUCUGAGGUAGUCUGGGCUGGAUUUGCAGGGCUGACAAAAAAGUUAUUCUAGCAAUCGUGUAUUGCAGGAGUUCCCGUCUGGCAUAGCAGAAAUGAAGCCGACUAGGAACCGUGAGGUUGCAGGUUUGAUCCCUGGCCUCGCUCAGUGGGUUAAGGAUCCAGUGUUGCCCUGAGGGUGGUGCAGGUCGCAAACAUGGCUUGGAUCUGGCGUUGCUGUGGCUCUGGUGUAGGCCAGCAGCUGUAGCUCUGAUUAGACCCCCGCCCUGGAAACCUCAAUAUGCGGAGGGUGCAGCCCUAAAAAGCGAAAAAAAAAAAAAAAAAGGACAAUAUUGUAUUGCAUACUUCAAAGGUGCUAGGAGAAUAAAUUCCCGAAGUUCUCAGCA
Molecule: long non-coding RNA, 1326 nt
Filed under: Sus scrofa (pig)
Lineage: Eukaryota; Metazoa; Chordata; Mammalia; Artiodactyla; Suidae
Description: lncRNA (ENSSSCG00060068441.1)
Source: RNAcentral